This is a long non-coding RNA of Homo sapiens (human), 416 nucleotides long. RefSeq lists it as uncharacterized. The transcript has 2 exons. The record is from RefSeq and is a predicted model, not a curated record. NCBI's taxonomy places the organism in Eukaryota, Metazoa, Chordata, Mammalia, Primates, Hominidae.
GGGGCUGGAGUGCAGUUGCACAAUCUCGGCUCACUGCAACCUCCCCUUCCCGGGUUCAAGUGAAGGAAUGCUGAUUCUGUAUUCAUACUUCUGACUGCAAGGAGUUCCAACAAUAGGAGUGAUUGCUUACUUAUUGACUCUGGACCACAGGGUUAAUGAGAAGUACGGAGUUACUCUAAGGGAUCAACUGGUUCUGACUGGCAGCUUGCCAUUAGAAGGGGGUGAACUACCUAUUAUGAUCCUGUAUUAAAUUAAUUGGAAAGAGUUUAUGUUUUCAGUAUUCCAGCAUGCUCGAAGUUUAAGAUGCAGACAAGGAAAACAAGGCAGCCUAGAGAACAUUUACCUUUGCAUAUUCUCAUACAAUUUUUAUCCAUUUUGCUUCUCUUAAUAAACUUUACACAAUCACUGCCUGGAAA